GGGAAUAUGGCUUAGUGGUAGAGUGCUUGCCUAACAUGCAUGAAGCCCUGGGUUCGAUUCCUUAGUACCA
This 70-nucleotide transfer RNA is filed under the name Dipodomys ordii (Ord's kangaroo rat). It matches the Rfam family "tRNA". From Rfam's summary of the family: Transfer RNA (tRNA) molecules are approximately 80 nucleotides in length. Lineage: Eukaryota; Metazoa; Chordata; Mammalia; Rodentia; Heteromyidae. The record is from Rfam by way of RNAcentral.